GUGCUCGCUUCAGUAGGACAUAUACUGAAAUUGGAAUGAUACAGAGAAGGUUAGCAUGGCCCCUGCGCAAGGAUGACAUGCAAAUUUGUGAAGCAUUCCAUAUUUUU
Molecule: small nuclear RNA, 107 nt
Filed under: Salvator merianae (Argentine black and white tegu)
Lineage: Eukaryota; Metazoa; Chordata; Lepidosauria; Squamata; Teiidae
Source: RNAcentral